Hevea brasiliensis (rubber tree) is the source of this 341-nucleotide long non-coding RNA. RefSeq lists it as uncharacterized. NCBI's taxonomy places the organism in Eukaryota, Viridiplantae, Streptophyta, Magnoliopsida, Malpighiales, Euphorbiaceae. The transcript has 3 exons. The record is from RefSeq and is a predicted model, not a curated record.
GUCGAUGAGCUAUGGAGAUGGUUCAACUUCCAGAGGCUUCCUCAUAAAUUUUUGGAAUUUUUGAGACACAGAUAAACUUCGGGUGAUCGAGAUCAACUAUUUUCCUGCAUCCAGCAGCCACAAUAGUCGACGGUGUACUGCUACAGGAGGAGACAUUUUUCAGAAUAACCUGUCCCUUUCCUCUCAGGUUAUGAAAAGAUUACUUAAUUGUAUUAUUAUUCUCUAAAUUUGUAAUUUAGGACUCCGCAUGUGCUAGUAGUAGCAUUAAGCCUAUCAGAGACUGUAUGAAUUCAAGUUUUCAUAUUAAUAAAUGAAAAGAAAAAUUUUUUAUGAGUUUUAAA